RNAcentral lists this ribosomal RNA (253 nucleotides) under uncultured bacterium. RNAcentral's name for it is "partial 16S ribosomal RNA". It matches the Rfam family "Bacterial small subunit ribosomal RNA", at positions 524 to 776 of the family's 1533-position model. The record is from RNAcentral.
UACGGGGGGGGCAAGCGUUGUUCGGAAUUACUGGGCGUAAAGGGCGCGUAGGCGGUUCGCUAAGUUGGAUGUGAAAACUCUGGGCUCAACCCAGAGCCUGCAUCCAAAACUGGCGGGCUAGAGUUCUGGAGGGGGUAGCGGAAUUCCUGGUGUAGCGGUGAAAUGCGUAGAUAUCAGGAGGAACACCGGUGGCGAAGGCGGCUACCUGGACGGUUUCUGACACUAAGACUCGAAAGCGUGGGGAGCAAACAGG